Long non-coding RNA from Osmerus eperlanus (European smelt), 974 nucleotides. RefSeq lists it as uncharacterized. The transcript has 2 exons. NCBI's taxonomy places the organism in Eukaryota, Metazoa, Chordata, Actinopteri, Osmeriformes, Osmeridae. The record is from RefSeq and is a predicted model, not a curated record.
GGUCCUAGGGUCUGGUUCUGUGGUCUGGUUCUAGGGUCUGGUCCCAGGCUCCAGUAGGCAGUAGCCUAUCCAAGGAGUGACAAAAGCUGAUCGUUCAUCUGGCAGAAGGUUGUAGUUCUUCAGGACCUGAAUGAAUGAUAUCUCCUUCUUCUGCCUUGUGGGUUUGGGCUGGGGAAGCCCGGCCGGAACCCGAGAGACGUCACUAUUCCUCCUGAAGCCAGCAGGGGCAGCCAGACCUCCAGCCCGGAUGGGAACCAGGGGCUUGAGGUAACCAGGGGCUUCAGGUAGCCAGGGGCUUCAGGUGACCAGGGGCUUGAGGUAACCAGGGGCUUCAGGUAACCAGGGGGUUCAGGUAACCAGGGGCUUCAGGUGACCAGGGGCUUGAGGUAACCAGGGGCUUCAGGUAACCAGGGGGUUCAGGUAACCAGGGGCUUCAGGUGACCAGGGGGUUCAGGUAACCAGAGGCUUCAAGUCCCAUGGCCCGUCAGUCCCCCGUGGUCGGGCUUUUGGGGCGACAUCAGGGGGUGGAGGCCGAGGCAGAAAGACCAGAGGGGCAAGAGCUGGGGCUCUGGUGCAGGAGGCUUUCACGAGGGCCUCGUUGACCCCUCCACUCUCCAGCAGCAGGCUGUAACGUCUGGGUGGAACACCAGUGAGCCUUUGUCCAAACCUGUUCAGGUUCAGGCUGGGGAAUCGACUCAUCUGCUAGGAGGAAGAAUAUCUGAUAAAUACAUAAAUACACAAACAGUUUGUUUAUUCCUGUAAUCUUGAGAAUGUACAUGUCGUUUUUUAUAUUGUAUAUUAUGGCUAUUUUUUUUUAAUUCAAAAUGUUUACAUACUUAGCAUUAGUUAGACUUUGUACCUUUAGUAUAGUUAGACCACAUAUUUAAGAUUCCUAUAUGUUGAUUGUUGAAUGAAUGCACCUUGUAAUGGACUGUGCAAACUUUCAUGGCGAUUAAAACCCUUUCUGAUUCUGA